GAUGAACGCUGGCGGCGUGCCUAAUACAUGCAAGUCGAGCGAACGGACGAGAAGCUUGCUUCUCUGAUGUUAGCGGCGGACGGGUGAGUAACACGUGGAUAACCUACCUAUAAGACUGGGAUAACUUCGGGAAACCGGAGCUAAUACCGGAUGAUAUUUUGAACCGCAUGGUUCAAAAGUGAAAGACGGUCUUGCUGUCACUUAUAGAUGGAUCCGCGCUGCAUUAGCUAGUUGGUAAGGUAACGGCUUACCAAGGCAACGAUGCAUAGCCGACCUGAGAGGGUGAUCGGCCACACUGGAACUGAGACAUGGUCCAGACUCCUACGGGAGGCGGCAGUAGGGAAUCUUCCGCAAUGGGCGAAAGCCUGACGGAGCAACGCCGCGUGAGUGAUGAAGGUCUUCGGAUCGUAAAACUCUGUUAUUAGGGAAGAACAUAUGUGUAAGUAACUGUGCACAUCUUGACGGUACCUAAUCAGAAAGCCACGGCUAACUACGUG
RNAcentral lists this ribosomal RNA (497 nucleotides) under uncultured bacterium. RNAcentral's name for it is "partial 16S ribosomal RNA". It matches the Rfam family "Bacterial small subunit ribosomal RNA", at positions 28 to 507 of the family's 1533-position model. The record is from RNAcentral.